This 628-nucleotide long non-coding RNA is filed under the name Physcomitrium patens. Its description in RNAcentral is "long non-coding RNA (PPAT_LNC012784)". The record is from RNAcentral. Lineage: Eukaryota; Viridiplantae; Streptophyta; Bryopsida; Funariales; Funariaceae.
UUAAGAUUUUUUUAGGAUAUGAUUUAAGAUUUAGGAUUUUUUUAAGGUUUAGUUUAAGGUUUAGUAUUUGUUUAGGAUUUGAUUUAGGUUUUAGGACUUAGAAUUUGUUUAGGAUUUAAUUUAAGGUUUAGGAUUUAUUUAGGAUUUGAUUUAGGAUUUAAGGUUUAUUUUGGAUUUGAUUUAGGAUUUAGUUUAAGAUUUAGUAUUUUUCUAAGAUUUGAUUUAUGAUUUAAGAUUUUUUUAGGAUUUAAUUUAAUAUUUAGUAUUUGUCUAAGAUUUGAUCUAAGAUUUAGGAUUUUUCUAGGAUUUAAUUUAUGGUUUGAUUUAAGAUUUAAGAUUUGACCUACAAUUUGAUUGAAGUCCAUUAGAUUUUCAAUUAGGAUUAAAUUAAGACUUAAUUAAAAUUUAUUUAAAAUAUAUUUGUGAUUAUUCUAAUAUUUCUUUAGAAUUUCUUAAGGAUUCUUUUAAGAUUUAUUAUGGAUUUCUUUUGAAUUCCUUUAAGAUUUCUUAUUUUUUCUUUUGUAAUUUUUUUAAGGUUUCUUUUGAAUUUGAUUGAAGCUUGCUUAGCAUUAUUAAUGGUUUAAUUAAAUUUAUUUAAUAUUCUAUUAGAAUUAAGAUUUUGUUGUUG